This 433-nucleotide ribosomal RNA is filed under the name uncultured bacterium. RNAcentral describes it as "partial 16S ribosomal RNA". It matches the Rfam family "Bacterial small subunit ribosomal RNA", at positions 29 to 507 of the family's 1533-position model. The record is from RNAcentral.
AACGAACGCUGGCGGCAUGCCUAACACAUGCAAGUCGAACGAAGUCUUCGGACUUAGUGGCGCACGGGUGUGUAACGCGUGGGAAUCUGCCCUUGGGUACGGAAUAACUCAGAGAAAUUUGUGCUAAUACCGUAUAAUGUCUUCGGACCAAAGAUUUAUCGCCCAAGGAUGAGCCCGCGUAAGAUUAGCUAGUUGGUGGGGUAAAAGCCUACCAAGGCGACGAUCUUUAGCUGGUCUGAGAGGAUGAUCAGCCACACUGGGACUGAGACACGGCCCAGACUCCUACGGGAGGCAGCAGUGGGGAAUAUUGGACAAUGGGCGAAAGCCUGAUCCAGCAAUGCCGCGUGAGUGAUGAAGGCCCUAGGGUUGUAAAGCUCUUUUACCAGGGAUGAUAAUGACAGUACCUGGAGAAUAAGCUCCGGCUAACUCCGUG